GACGAACGCUGGCGGCGUGCCUAACACAUGCAAGUCGAGCGGAGUCAGUAAGAGGAAGUUUUCGGAUGGAAUCUUAUUGAUUUAGCGGCGGACGGGUGAGUAACGCGUGAGCGACCAACCUUGCACAGGGGGAUAACGGACCGAAAGGUUCACUAAUACCGCAUAAGACCACGGUGUUGCAUGACACAGAGGUCAAAGGAGCAAUCCGGUGCAAGACGGGCUCGCGUCCGAUUAGGUAGUUGGAGGGGUAACGGCCCACCAAGCCUAUGAUCGGUAACCGACCUGAGCGGGGUAGCGGCCACAUUGGACCGGGGAUACGGUCCAAACUCCUACGGGAGGCAGCAGUGGGGAAUAUUGGGCAAUGGGGGAAACCCUGACCCAGCAACGCCGCGUGAAGGAAGAAGGUUUUCGGAUUGUAAACUUCUGUCCUUGGUGAAGAGAAGAAGACGGUAGCCAAGGAGGAAGCCCCGGCUAACUACGUGCCAGCAGCCGCCGCCG
RNAcentral lists this ribosomal RNA (498 nucleotides) under uncultured bacterium. RNAcentral's name for it is "partial 16S ribosomal RNA". It matches the Rfam family "Bacterial small subunit ribosomal RNA", at positions 28 to 523 of the family's 1533-position model. The record is from RNAcentral.